This 426-nucleotide ribosomal RNA is filed under the name uncultured bacterium. RNAcentral's name for it is "partial 16S ribosomal RNA". It matches the Rfam family "Bacterial small subunit ribosomal RNA", at positions 354 to 796 of the family's 1533-position model. The record is from RNAcentral.
GUGAGGAAUUUUCCGCAAUGGGCGAAAGCCUGACGGAGCAAUGCCGCGUGAAGGAUGAAGGCCUAUGGGUUGUAAACUUCUUUUCUCAGAAAAGAAUUAUGACGGUAUCUGAGGAAUAAGCAUCGGCUAACUCUGUGCCAGCAGCCGCGGUAAGACAGAGGAUGCAAGCGUUAUCCGGCAUGAUUGGGCGUAAAGCGUCUGUAGGUUGUUUAAAAAGUAUUCUGUCAAAGAUUAGGGCUUAACCCUAGAUAGGCAGAAUAAACUUUUAAGCUAGAGUUUGGUAGAGGCAGAGGGAAUUCCCAGUGGAGCGGUGAAAUGCGUAGAUAUCGGGAGGAACACCAAAGGCGAAGGCACUCUGCUGGGCCAAUACUAACACUGAGAGACGAAAGCGAGGGGAGCAAAUGGGAUUAGAAACCCCAGUAGUCA